UUUUUUUACCUUAUUUUGUUUUCUAAUUUUAUUUUUAUAUAUUCUAUCCUCCUCCCUUCUAUUUCUUCUCACUUUCUCUUUUCUAAUCUUACAUCUCUCUCUUAUUCAAAGCUAAAAAAAUUUACUUGUUCUAUUGAUAAUUUAUAUUUUAAAUUUGGAGAAAACUAUAUUGCAGCAGCCCGAUUCAUUUUCGGAAAUCAAGUCUUCAUAGCUUUUGAAUUUGGUAAUAUCAUUCUAAUUUCUAAUAUUAUUUUUGUUUUGUGUCUUAUGUUUAUUAUAUUUUUUAUUUGAUAUUGUAAAUAGUGUUUAAAAUAUUUGUUAGAUUUUAAUAUGUCAACUAGAAAAUAUGAAUCCGGUCAUUCAAAACUUAAAAGAAAAAGAAAAGUCGAUAACUUGAUAAAAUCUCAAAAAGGUGCUCUUGAUAAAUUUUUGGAAAACAAUGAUAAUAUUAAAUCAAAAAAGGUAGGGGAAUGCUCUUUAGAAGAACAAGUUACAAACUUAGUUGAAGUUGAGUUAGAUAAUGAUAUAAACCAAAAAGAAGAAGAAGGAGAGGAAAUUAGUGAAAAGUCGGAUGUAGAUUCCCAAGAAAAUCAAGAACUUAUAAAUGAAUUAAAUAAUCAUACUCCUAAAAAUAUCUAUGAUCCUAGUCAAUGGAAUAUUGUUGAUACAAAGUUAAGAGACUUN
This 684-nucleotide long non-coding RNA is filed under the name Solanum tuberosum (potato). Its description in RNAcentral is "long non-coding RNA (STUB_LNC001419)". The record is from RNAcentral. Lineage: Eukaryota; Viridiplantae; Streptophyta; Magnoliopsida; Solanales; Solanaceae.